CCCGACUCUAGUUGCUACCUUUAUGUGGUGGUCCGGUUUUCUUAUCUUGAUGGUUUAGGUGAACUAUAUUGACUGGAAUAUUUAGUCCUGUAGGUCGGCUAGAGAGAGGUAGCACUAAAAGCAAC
Molecule: non-coding RNA, 125 nt
Filed under: Schistosoma mansoni
Lineage: Eukaryota; Metazoa; Platyhelminthes; Trematoda; Strigeidida; Schistosomatidae
Source: RNAcentral